CUCCCUGCCCCACCCAGCUGGCCCCAGGCCACCGGCCGGGCCUGGGACUCAACUUGCCAACUUACAGCCUGAGGGAGGGCUGGGCUCUUCAAAAACAGCCUCAAAUCAUCCAGGCCGCUGACAGCCACAGGGCAAGCGCCCAGAGCCCAUUCUUUCUGUCUGGCCUCCAUCUCAUCCGGCUAUCCCAGGAUCCCAGGAGUGGCUGUUGAUGGAGCCCUUCCCAUGGACUGGGCCUUUGCACACACAUUGCACCAAAUUCUCACAGCAGCCGAGCCAGCCCUGCCCCACCUGAUUGGUUAAACCAUCUGCUGCCUGGUGUCUCCUCCACUGGACGACCAGGACCGAAGGGGCUGGAGAAGGAUUAACUCCAAUGUCCAGUGCCUGUCCCUGCUUGACAGGUUCUCGCUCUGUUGCCCAGGUUGGAGUGCAGUGGUGCCGUCACAGCUCACGGCAGCCUUGACUUCCAGAGCAUGAGUUCUCUGCAGCAGAAGCCAUGUCCUCUCACCUCUGAACCCAGGGAAGAGAGGGAUGCAGCACUAAUGCAUUGCUUAGAAGUGCUGCACUAUGAGCAUGAGGUUGGGUGUGAUUCAGGCCAUGUUGUUCCGGCCUCUUGACAUGGCCUGUCCACCGCCGGGAGGUGGUGCCACUUUCCUGGCGUCCAGGCUUGGCUGAUCACGCUCUCCGACAGCCUGGGCCAUGAUUCGGGUGCCACUGUGGGGUCACGCUGCCUGUGCCCCCUAGGGCUCACAGAGAUACUAGCCUUUGGAUUCCAGUGCCCUCCCCCAGACCUCCAACAGACCCCACAGAGCUGAGCCCCAGCUCUCUUCAUUAUCAGUCACUCCAUUAUAACUAGGACACGUACGUCUGUGUGCCUGGACUGUCACUGCCCCUAGGAUGAGAUUUUCCAGGCAGCAACUCCAUCAUCACACAAAGAGGUCUCUGGAGGAUCCACAUUCCUUGCUGUCUAGACCUGUCCUGAGUAUGCCUGAACCCUGGGUGUUCAGGUUCAGGCUGUGAAACUCACGCCCACAGUUCACCAAUUCAUGCAACAAAUAUGGCAUGAUCUCGGCUCACGGCAACCUCUGUCUCCCAGGUUCAAGCAAUUCUCCUGGCUCAGCCUCCCGAGUAGUUGGGAUUACAGGUGCCAGCCACCAUGCCCACCUAAUUUUUUUUUUUUUUUGUAUUUUUAGUAGAGAUGGGGUUUCACUAUGUUGGCCAGGCUGGUCUCGAACUCCUGACCUCAGAUGAUCCACCCACCUCGGCCUCCCAAAGUGUUGGGAUUACAGGCGUGAGCCACCGUGGCUGGCCAGAUUUGUUUUAUAUUUUGAAGUCUUACCAACAGGAUUUGCUGAUAGAUUGAGAGAGAGAGAGCCCAACGAUGGAUCCAAACUCUCUGGCCUGAGCAAUUGGAAGCAUUGGGGUUUCCAUAGCCUAAGACAGGGAAGACUUUGGAGGGACAGGUGUGGGUAGAGGGAAACCAGUUCUGUUCAGAUGCCUUCAUGUUGACUGCCUGCUUGUUAGACAUCCCAGUAAAGCUAUCAAGUCGACAUUUGGGUACCAAGCCUGGAACUCACAGCAGAGGUCAAGCUAGAGAAAUACACUAGAGUGUUGUCACCUGUCUUCCCCUCCUGGAGCUCUGCUGACUGUCUCCUUGCAGGCAUUCUGUCAGAGGUAGCUGGGACUUUAGAACUGGGCACAAUUCCUGGCUCCAUCUUGAACUGGCUCUGGGACCUUGGGAAAGUGAGUUCCCCUCUCUAGCCCUUAGUUCUUGUGAAAGGAAAAUCGCAGGACUCCAAAAUCGCAAAGUCAAGGGGAAAAGUCAAGCUGGGAACUGCAUCACGCAAACUUGCCUCCCAUUUUCUUCCUAGAUAAGAUAGCUACAAAGAUAAACAAGCUGCAUACCUCCCUCCCAAUUUGCCCACAAGGAAAUUCCUUGUGGGCCUCAGGAUCUUUACCCUAAAACAGUUCUGUUGAAUUUCACCCUGGCAAUGUAAAUUGAUAGCUUAUCUUCACAGAUGUGGGACAAAGGACAGAACUCACCAUCAGGCCUCUGCCCACCUGAGACAAAUGCAUAUAUGAUUGCUUGAUUGCUUCCUCUGCCCUAUUGUUUAUGUGAAAAUGCAGAUUCACUGAGCCAGACUAGGGCACACAGGACUACUCCUCUACCCUCUGCUCACAUGGAAAUUGUGUAUUCAGUGAAAGGCUGAUCAAAGACUCAAAAGGAUGCACCCAUUUAUCUUUUAUAUGCCUAUGACCUGGAAAUCCCUGCUUCCAGUUGUCCUGCGUUUCCAAACUGAAGCAAUGUACAUCUUACACAUAUUGAUUCAUGCCUCAUGUCUCCCAAAAAUGUGUAAAAGCAAGCUAUACCACAACCUCCUUGGGCACAUGUCAGCAGGACCUCCUGAGGCUGUGUCACAGACACGUCCUUAACCUUGGCAAAAUAAACUUUCUUUCCUUUUUUUUUUUUUUGGGAGACAGAGUUUCGCUCUUGUUGCCCAGGCUGGAGUGCAGUGGCAUGAUCUUGGCUCACUGCAACCUCUGCCUCCCAGGUUCAAGUGAUUCUCCUGCCUCAGCCUCCCAAGUAGCUGGGACUACAGGCACCUGCCACCAUGCCCAGCUAAUUUUGUCUUUUUAGUAGAGACGAGGUUUCACCAUGUUGGCCAGGCUGGUCUUGAACUCGUAACCUCAGGUGAUCUGCCUGCCUCAGCCUCCCAAAGUGCUGGGAUUACAGGCACGAGCCACCAAGCCCAGGUACAAAAUAAACUUUCUAAAUGGAUUGAGACUUGUCUUAGGUACUUUGUGUUCACAUUCCUCAUCCUCAUUGGGGAUAUGAAACUGGUAACACUUCUUGUAGCCUCCUGCAGGUUUUUUUUUUUUUUUUUUUUUGAGACGGAGUUUUGCUCUUGUUGCCCAGGCUGGAGUGCAAAGGUGCAAUCUCAGCUUACCGCAACCUCCGCCUCCUGGGUUCAAGCAAUUCUCCUGCCUCAGCCUCCCGAGUAGCUGGAAUUACAGGCAUGCUCCACUACACCUGGCUAAUUUUGUAUUUUUAGUAGAGAUGGGGUUUCUCUAUGUUGG
This 3075-nucleotide long non-coding RNA is filed under the name Homo sapiens (human). RNAcentral describes it as "HSALNT0406394". Lineage: Eukaryota; Metazoa; Chordata; Mammalia; Primates; Hominidae. The record is from RNAcentral.